AUGAUACUAAGAGAUUCAGAGGGAGCAGUCAUCUUCUCAGCUUAUCGUUAUCUGUUCCAUUGCAAAGAUGCCCUAGAAUCUGAAAUCAGUGCUGUCUUGGAAGGAGUUUCACUCAGUUUGGAACGAUCAAAUCUUCCUAUUGUAGUUCAGUCUGAUAGCUCUAUUGUGGUUGCAGCAUUGACGGAUGAUUCACUCCAAAGAUCUGCUUAUGGACACCUUAUAAUGGAAAUCAAAAGACUCCUGGAACCGCGUGGGUUUAUUCCGCAGAAGCUCGAGCGUCAUCAAAAUGUUGCUCAUAGUCUUGCUAAUAUUGGCCGUUCUGGAGGUAGCACCGCCUGUUGGUUGCGCCAUGUCCCAGUCAGUAUUUCUAACCUUGUAUUAGCCGACUGUAACACUAUUACCGAGGAAUAA
Molecule: ribosomal RNA, 411 nt
Filed under: Triticum aestivum (bread wheat)
Lineage: Eukaryota; Viridiplantae; Streptophyta; Magnoliopsida; Poales; Poaceae
Description: partial small subunit ribosomal RNA
Source: RNAcentral